This 639-nucleotide ribosomal RNA is filed under the name uncultured archaeon. Its description in RNAcentral is "bacterial SSU rRNA". It matches the Rfam family "Archaeal small subunit ribosomal RNA", at positions 44 to 661 of the family's 1478-position model. The record is from RNAcentral.
CUAAGACAUGCUAGUCGAGCGUCUUCAGGCUAUGUUGAGGACGCGGCGUACGGCUCAGUAACACGUGGCCAACCUACCCUUAGGACGGAGACAACCCCGGGAAACUGGGGCUAAUCCCCGAUAGGUGAGGACGCCUGGAAUGGUCUCUCACCCAAAGGACGUUGAAGCCAUGCUUUUCGGCGUUGCCUAAGGAUGGAGCCGCGGCCGAUCAGGUUGUUGGUGAGGUAACGGCUCACCAAGCCUAUAACCGGUACGGGCCAUGAGAGUGGGAGCCCGGAGAUGGGCACUGAGACAAGGGCCCAGGCCCUACGGGGCGCAGCAGUUGCGAAACCUCCACAAUGCACGAAAGUGCGAUGGGGCUAACCCGAGUGCCGUCCGCUGAGGAGGGCUUUUCUCCGCUGUAAGGAGGCGGAGGAAUAAGGAGAGGGCAAGACUGGUGUCAGCCGCCGCGGUAAUACCAGCUCUCCGAGUGGUAGGGACGAUUAUUGGGCCUAAAGCGUUCGUAGCCGGCUUGGCAAGUCUUUCGUUAAAUCCAGUGACCUAAUCGCUGGGCUGCGGGAGAUACUGUCAGGCUUGGGAGCGGAAGAGGUCGACGGUAUCUCGGGGUAGGGGUGAAAUCCUGUAUCCCGGGAGGACACC